This is a long non-coding RNA of Carassius gibelio (silver crucian carp), 604 nucleotides long. RefSeq lists it as uncharacterized. NCBI's taxonomy places the organism in Eukaryota, Metazoa, Chordata, Actinopteri, Cypriniformes, Cyprinidae. The record is from RefSeq and is a predicted model, not a curated record. The transcript has 4 exons.
AUACCAAAUUUGUAACUUAACUCGGUUGUCAAGUCAAAGGGUGCUUUUUUCAAUCAGAAGACAGCAUCUUAGCAGCCAAGUCAUCAAGCCACAUCGAAGGAUAUCUCACGUCCUUCACUUGGUCUGUUUUGAGGAACACAUCAGUGUUUAAUGCUGAGCUGGACUAUAGCCUUGAAACCUCAGAAGGACUGGAUUUGGAAAGAUGCAGCCUUCUGUUGGAGAAGCACAUUGAUCUGAGAACUGUCUCUCUUAAUAACCCAAGAAGCGUUGAAAAGAGUCUUCAGACCUUCAAGUCACACAGUCUGCGGUGCAACGUGUAAUGAGGACGCAAGGUCGUUUUUGAUGACGAAGCCUUCAACCCACGUUCCAUUAGAGUGACUGCUCGAGGGGAUGAUGAAAACAUAAAAACCAAAUAACAUCCUGACUUAAUGAACCUCACAGGCUCAUGAGUGCCACCUGAUUCCUGUUCAAGCUCAAUAGCUGGAGUACAAAGGGACCCACAGAACUGCAGUCCAGAGAGAGAGGCUGAGGUGCUCCGUGCUUACAACUACCAUCUUCAGCUCCCAGUGCUGUUUUUAUCUUCCGUGUUCAUCGUUUGCUUUGC